GACGAACGCUGGCGGCGUGCUUAACACAUGCAAGUCGAACGGAAAGGCCCUGCUUUUGCGGGGUGCUCGAGUGGCGAACGGGUGAGUAACACGUGAGUAACCUGCCCUUGACUUUGGGAUAACUUCAGGAAAAUGGGGCUAAUACCGGAUAGGAGCUCCUGCUGCAUGGUGGGGGUUGGAAAGUUUCGGCGGUUGGGGAUGGACUCGCGGGUUACCAGCUUGUUGGUGAGGUAGUGGCUCACCAAGGCUUUGAAGGGUAGCCGGCCUGGGAGGGUGGCCGGCCACAUUGGGACUAAGAGACGGCCCAGACUCCUACGGGAGGCAGCAGUGGGGAAUAUUGCACAAUGGGCGGGAGCCAGAUGCAGCGACGCCGCGUGCGGGAUGACGGCCUUCGGGUUGUAAACCGCUUUCGCCUGUGACGAAGCGUGAGUGACGGUAAUGGGUAAAGAAGCACCGGCUAACUACGUG
This 468-nucleotide ribosomal RNA is filed under the name uncultured bacterium. RNAcentral's name for it is "partial 16S ribosomal RNA". It matches the Rfam family "Bacterial small subunit ribosomal RNA", at positions 28 to 507 of the family's 1533-position model. The record is from RNAcentral.